UGCCUAGAGGUGCUGAUACAUGGCGUGUU
This 29-nucleotide small RNA is filed under the name Bombyx mori (domestic silkworm). Its description in RNAcentral is "ovarian small RNA-33835". Lineage: Eukaryota; Metazoa; Arthropoda; Insecta; Lepidoptera; Bombycidae. The record is from RNAcentral.